UCCCAUAUUGUCUAGUGGUUAGGAUACCUGGCUCUCACCCAGGAGGCCCGGGUUCAAUUCACGGUAUGGGAA
Molecule: transfer RNA, 72 nt
Filed under: Daphnia pulicaria
Lineage: Eukaryota; Metazoa; Arthropoda; Branchiopoda; Diplostraca; Daphniidae
Description: tRNA-Glu
Rfam family: tRNA
About the family: Transfer RNA (tRNA) molecules are approximately 80 nucleotides in length.
Source: RNAcentral